RNAcentral lists this long non-coding RNA (362 nucleotides) under Capsicum annuum. RNAcentral's name for it is "long non-coding RNA (CANN_LNC015096)". Lineage: Eukaryota; Viridiplantae; Streptophyta; Magnoliopsida; Solanales; Solanaceae. The record is from RNAcentral.
UUUAAUUUGCCACUUUACCACAUCUUCAGCGUGUGUAUUACACGCAGUUCAUAUUUUUUUGCCAUGUCAAUAAGUUAGGCUCAAUUGAAAUCAUUUGUGAAGAAGUAAAGGGUUCAAUAGGUACCUAACUUAAUUGAGGUACCUAUACGAAAAAAGUGAAAUAGUUCAGGGGCCUGUAUAUGUAUUCCGUCUUAUUAUCAUCAUCAUCAUCAUUGCUAGCCAGCCAAUCUUCAACCAGAAGUAGCAAGUCCCUCUUCAACCUGCGUAUCUCGUGGAGCAUUCUUGCUCUAACUCUUCCCAGUUCCCAUUGCAGGUCACGAACUUGAUUUUGAAGUUCAUUCACAGCGUCUUGCAGAAAAGCA